Jatropha curcas is the source of this 592-nucleotide non-coding RNA. Lineage: Eukaryota; Viridiplantae; Streptophyta; Magnoliopsida; Malpighiales; Euphorbiaceae. The record is from RefSeq and is a predicted model, not a curated record.
UUCCUCAAUGCUCAAAAAAGCAUUGAAGAAAAUCGAGUUUUCAUUGAACAGAAGAAAAAAGGUUCCCGUAAGUUUUAUUUUCAUUAUUUUACCAUGUGAAGUACAGUGAAAAAGUUUCAGCUUUCACAUCUGUAAAUUUUUGAUAUAUUACUGUAUGUCGAAUCAUAACUCAUUAGACAUGUAAUUAUCUGGAACUACAUUUGUUAAACAAAAACUAUAAUAAUGGUAUUAAAGAUACCAAAAUUGUUCUCAAACGUCUCACCCCUUGAGUUUUUAAGGUUAAUGAAAUGCUUAUAUAUAUAUAUAAAUAUAUAUAAUAUAUAAAGGUUCUCAAAUAUUAAAAUAUGAGAAGCUGCACCUAAAAUGGAGACUGGAAAUGGGUCCCAACCAUUAUAAACGAAAGAUGGGCAUGGCAACCAAUUCUAUGUUCCAAUACUAUUAGCUUACCAAGUUCUAAAUGAUUCCUGAUGUCAUACAUACUAAAUAUACAGCUAUCUGACCAAAGGCUGAAGGAAGAAGUAAACUUGAAGAUAAAACUAAUAAUAAAAAAAAAGAGUAAGAAAGAUACAUGAAAAUGGGGGAAAAAAAAAAA